This 862-nucleotide ribosomal RNA is filed under the name uncultured archaeon. Its description in RNAcentral is "bacterial SSU rRNA". It matches the Rfam family "Archaeal small subunit ribosomal RNA", at positions 52 to 922 of the family's 1478-position model. The record is from RNAcentral.
UGCGAGUCGACACAGCAAUGUGUGGCAUACGGCUCAGUAACACGUAGUCAACAUGCCCAGGGGACGUGGAUAACCUCGGGAAACUGAGGCUAAACCGCGAUAGGUCACUACUUCUGGAAUGGGUAAUGACCCAAACCUAUAUGGCCCCUGGAUUGGACUGCGGCCGAUCAGGCUGUUGGUGAGGUAAUGGCCCACCAAACCUGUAACCGGUACGGGCUCUGAGAGGAGGAGCCCGGAGAUGGGCACUGAGACAAGGGCCCAGGCCCUAUGGGGCGCAGCAGGCGCGAAACCUCUGCAAUAGGCGAAAGCUUGACAGGGUUACUCUGAGUGAUUUCCGUUAAGGGGAUCUUUUGGCACCUCUAAAAAUGGUGCAGAAUAAGGGGUGGGCAAGUCUGGUGUCAGCCGCCGCGGUAAUACCAGCACCCCGAGUGGUCGGGACGUUUAUUGGGCCUAAAGCAUCCGUAGCCGGUUCCGCAAGUCUUCCGUUAAAUCCACCUGCUCAACAGAUGGGCUGCGGAAGAUACUAUGGAGCUAGGAGGCGGGAGAGGCAAGCGGUACUCGAUGGGUAGGGGUAAAAUCCGUUGAUCCAUUGAAGACCACCAGUGGCGAAGGCGGCUUGCCAGAACGCGCUCGACGGUGAGGGAUGAAAGCUGGGGGAGCAAACCGGAUUAGAUACCCGGGUAGUCCCAGCUGUAAACGAUGCAGACUCGGUGAUGAGUUGGCUUUAUGCCAACUCAGUGCCGCAGGGAAGCCGUUAAGUUUGCCGCCUGGGGAGUACGGUCGCAAGACUGAAACUUAAAGGAAUUGGCGGGGGAGCACCACAAGGGGUGAAGCCUGCGGUUCAAUUGGAGUCAACGCCGGG